AUCAGUUCGACGUUAGACACUAGUUAGGGAAUGUUAGUUAUGUUGCGGUGCAAAUUCAUAACCAUUUUUAUGAUUUUAUGCUGUUGCAAUAGUAUUCGUACGUGACUGUUUUCAAUGUUGACAUUUUGCUUUUGUACAGACAGUCGCACUGAUGAGUUGUUGAGUUGAGUUGAUGAAAAAACAAAUAUAAGAAAAGCAAGAAGUUCCUCAAAUUCUGACAAAUCGUCUGGUCCGCGCGGUCCGUUUUCUUUCGAUGUCGUUCACAAGAGGUCGUGGAUGCCGGCACUAAUUCUACUCCCGCACCACUCAAUAAAUUCUUCACGGCGGACGUGGCGGAUUCAAGUUUAUCGUAACGAUGUGCUUGAGGAUGUGCUGCUGCCUACGAUGUUCAACACGUCGUGUGACUACCUGCAUAAUGCUCCCUCCGGAACUCAUGUACUGCAGCUGGAACAACAACAUCGGAUGAAUCGAGGGGGACGACACUUCCGCUUUUAUAGAAAAACUAACAAAAAAGUCUAUCUUUCU
Molecule: long non-coding RNA, 525 nt
Organism: Armigeres subalbatus
Lineage: Eukaryota; Metazoa; Arthropoda; Insecta; Diptera; Culicidae
Exons: 3
Source: RefSeq, a predicted model, not a curated record